RNAcentral lists this ribosomal RNA (466 nucleotides) under uncultured bacterium. RNAcentral's name for it is "bacterial SSU rRNA". It matches the Rfam family "Bacterial small subunit ribosomal RNA", at positions 232 to 678 of the family's 1533-position model. The record is from RNAcentral.
UGCGUUCCAUUAGUUAGUAGGCGGGGUAACGGCCCACCAAGACUACGAUGGAUAGGGGUUCUGAGAGGAAGGUCCCCCACAUUGGAACUGAGACACGGUCCAAACUCCUACGGGAGGCAGCAGUGAGGAAUAUUGGUCAAUGGACGAGAGUCUGAACCAGCGAAGUAGCGUGAAGGAUGAAGGUCCUAUGGGUUGUAAACUUCUUUUAUAAGGGAAUAAAGUGUUCCACGUGUGGGAUUUUGUAUGUACCAUAUGAAUAAGGAUCGGCUAACUCCGUGCCAGCAGCCGCGGUAAUACGGAGGAUCCGAGCGUUAUCCGGGAUUUAUUGGGUUUAAAGGGUAGCGUAGGACGUGUAGUUAAGUCAAGUUGUGAAAAGUUUGCGGGCUCAAACCGUAAAAAUUGCAGUUGAAUACUGGUCAGUCCUUGAAGUGCCGGUAGGAAGGUUGGGCGGAAAUUUCGUGGUUAG